RNAcentral lists this ribosomal RNA (326 nucleotides) under uncultured bacterium. RNAcentral describes it as "bacterial SSU rRNA". It matches the Rfam family "Bacterial small subunit ribosomal RNA", at positions 47 to 391 of the family's 1533-position model. The record is from RNAcentral.
UCAGGCCUAAACACAUGCAAGUCGUACGGGAGUUUUUAACUCUAGUGGCGGACGGGUGAGUAACACGUAAGAAUUUGCCUUUAGGAGGGGGACAACAACUGGAAACGGUUGCUAAUACCCCAUAUGCUUUCGAGUGAAGUGGAUUUCCGCCUAAAGAGAAGCUUGCGGCUGAUUAGCUUGUUGGUGAGGUAAUGGCUCACCAAGGCGACGAUCAGUAUCUGGUUUGAGAGGACGAUCAGACACACUGGAACUGAGACACGGUCCAGACUCCUACGGGAGGCAGCAGUGGGGAAUUUUCCGCAAGGGGCGAAAGCCUGACGGAGCAA